GAUGAACGCUGGCGGCGUGCCUAAUACAUGCAAGUCGAGCGAACAGACGAGGAGCUUGCUCCUCUGACGUUAGCGGCGGACGGGUGAGUAACACGUGGAUAACCUACCUAUAAGACUGGGAUAACUUCGGGAAACCGGAGCUAAUACCGGAUAAUAUAUUGGACCGCAUGGUUCAAUAGUGAAAGACGGUUUUGCUGUCACUUAUAGAUGGAUCCGCGCCGCAUUAGCUAGUUGGUAAGGUAACGGCUUACCAAGGCAACGAUGCGUAGCCGACCUGAGAGGGUGAUCGGCCACACUGGAACUGAGACACGGUCCAGACUCCUACGGGAGGCAGCAGUAGGGAAUCUUCCGCAAUGGGCGAAAGCUUGACGGAGCAACGCCGCGUGAGUGAUGAAGGUCUUCGGAUCGUAAAACUCUAUUAUUAGGGAAGAACAAAUGUGUAAGUAACUAUGCACGUCUUGACGGUACCUAAUCAGAAAGCCACGGCUAACUACGUG
Molecule: ribosomal RNA, 497 nt
Filed under: uncultured bacterium
Lineage: Bacteria
Description: partial 16S ribosomal RNA
Rfam family: Bacterial small subunit ribosomal RNA
Source: RNAcentral